CGCCCACAAAACACAAAUGUCCGAUCGCGAUCGUUUGAUAACGGUACAUAGCUGUUUGAUAUUGAAUAUACAAGGUCCCGUGCACUUGUAAAUAUUUAUUGCCAGCGUUUCAGAACAUGGUGAGCACCUUGUACAGAUUGUCCGAGCUGAGAGAUUCCAGUUUUGGGCAGCCAGAUCCCAGACACGGUCUCAGAUUGCUAUGGUGGUUUGCAAACGAAUGUGUUCGGAUUGACUUCAAUGGCCGUAUACAUGCACUGUGUGACCCUACGAAAGGAGAUUUCGGUUUUCAUCGAUUUCGUAAUGGAGAUCGACUUCUUCCCCACACUAACCAUCCAUACUAUAAGACAGGCAACCUGAACCAUCCUGACCAUUCACUGCCUUAUUAUGUCACUGAAAAUUACACAGGAUAUUUAGAUGACAGCAACACCGAUCGCAUCAUUGUUUCCCUUUUAACAGAUUGGAAUGGACACAUCUGGUUUCAUGAAAUUUACGUGACUCAGCACUCAGAUCAGAGGCAUUUUGACAAGAGUCAUACAUAUCGCAUCAGUCCAGGUCUCAUGAAGGCCAUUCAAAACCUGACACUAGCUAAAUUCCUGAGACAAAUGGAGAAUGACCAGAAUCAAAUUUAUUACAAUCAACAAUGCCUAAAGUUACAAUAUAAUCCACCACCAGCUCGACCAAUACAGAAUCCAACCUAUAAUCAGCAAAGGUCAGGCCUAUCUAUGAAAGAAAUUUGUGAAAAAUUCUGCACCGUGCUAGCCGUAAUUGCACUACUGUUACUUUUUUGUAUUUCCGUACAUUUCGCAAAGUAAAAAUUAAUUGCUUUCAUAGCCAAUUUUUGGCUAACAAGUGGCCCAAAUGGGUUUGAUAUGGUCGCAAUGCUUAAUGCAAAUGCUAAGAUGCAUUAUGUAAAUAUGCAUACACUGAAAAAAAAUAUUAAUUUAAUUUACUCAAUUUUUUUAAGGUAAUUGGUCGCAAUCAAUUUAUUUAAGCUACAUUUAAUCAAAAACAAAAAAAUAAAUAAAAACAAAACAAAAAAACUUUUCUUCAAAUGUACCUUAAAUAAAUUGCUUGCAACAGUAAAUGAAUCUUUUUUUUUUCAGUGUAUUUAGGAUAGCAGUCAGGUAGUGUUUCAUUCUCUUUCACAGCCAUCAAGCAACACCGAAGAGUUUUUUUUACCUUAAAAUAAUGUUUCCAAAAAAGUUUCAGUCGUUCAUCCACUCAAAACGGCACUUUCACAUUCGCUUUCAGCCCUCUAUCGGCCAAAACCGCAUUAAAGAAGUUUCCAACCGUCGGGUCGCGGUCCUGUAGUCCGAGUGAAAACUACAAAAACUUGAAUUACAAAGCCAGCUUUGCUGCAGUAGGCUAAAUUAUUUACGACAGUGGUAAUGGACAAUUCCGCUUCCAACCUGUAGGGAGAGCAAAGAGCAAAAACUCUUUAGUAUUGCUUAAAAUACACUAAAUGAAACUGCACAGCUCAGUUCGGUCAGCUUGAACCUAAACAUGGCUUGAAACGGCAGUAUUGGUUCGCUCAUGACUAUAAAGACGUCAUGGACGGGUAUAUUGUACCUAAAAUCAAUCCUAAAACUGGAGUCUUCGGCUUUCACAAGUUUAAUAACAGGAUUAAAGAUGAUGAACACAUUUUGCCUGUUCAGUGUCAACGUUGAAUGCUCACAGUGCAGAAAAACUACCAGGUUAUAUUGGAUUAUUCUAUGGCCUGGAUAACUCUGGCUUUUGAACAGGAUUUAUGUGAUUGAACACAGUUAUAUAACACAAUAGCAAUCGUGUCAGUCAGAGACUCUUGCAGAUCAUCAAGAACAUGAAUCCAGAACAAAACCUGCUCCUGUCAAAGUCUUCACACUUUCAUAUACGUGUCAAUUAAUAAUAAUACAGCUUAUAUAUGAUAACAAAUUUGUUUAUUUUUUAUAUGUUUUUUUAUAUUGUGAUUUUAUACUGUAUUGUCUGACAUACACUAUACAUGCAUGUGUGAAGUAAUAAAUUUGAAAUAAAUGCCGGUCCCUGGUUUUCUUCCUUAUUUGCCAGCAUUUUUUGGUGAGGUCAUUUGUUAACCUGUGCUUGAUUAUUUCUCUUAUAGUGUGUGCAUAAAUAACAUUUACGUUUUAGUGUUAAAUGUUGGUUGUCCAAACGAAGUCAUUAGCAAAAGUUUCGAUAUAUUUAUGGUAGGAAAUGUACUAAAACCAUUAUUUAUCAUGAUCUUUACACAAUAUCCUAACGAUUUUUGAUUACAUUUGAUAGAAGAAUUAAAAUACAAAUACAAUGCUGAGUUGAAAACAAUAAAAUGGUAAAAAUAAAAUGUAAUUGUAUUACCUUUGAUUGGACCUUCAUCUGGUUAUUUUAUUUUGUUGGUAUCUGUCCAUUUGUUCUCAUGGUUUUCUGAUAAUGGUCACGUGACAUUAAGAUCAAACAAAUUAAAACCUAUUUUUAGUUAAUGUUUUAUUUACAUUUUUAUUUUUAAAUUAUUUAUUUGCAUUUUUGAUCAACCCAAUAACACCUUGCAAUCCCAACCCCUAGUUUGGUACACCCAUAAGUAAACUGAAGAAAUUGAGAAAGUGUGCCAUCUGAUCUCACAUGCCUUGUUCAAGCUAAAUCAUCAUUAUUGUUUUAUAAUAAAAUCACAUAUUGUAAAAAAAAAAAGAAAAACAACUUGGUUUUGCAAGUCAAUUCAACAUACUAUUUUAAGUUGUGGCUUUAAAAAGUUGACCUAACUUAUAAAUUCAAGUUGAAAUUGUUUAACUUAAUUUUUUAAGUUAAAGUAACAUAAAAUAUAUGUUGAUUUGACAAAAAUGCUGCAUAUAUUUUUACAGUGUAUAACAAAGUAAAGAUAUGUACCCCCUUUUUUUUACAGGAACAGAUACGUUUUAAUGAAUUUUAUGAACGUUUAAAUAGUCUGGAUAGUUUAUUGCUUUAUAAUAAGAGAGUGCAGUCUCUUUUUUUCAGAUCUGCAAUUACAUUGAUUGAGUUUUUUUCUAUUUAUCACAUUUAUGUCUCUGUUGUUAUACAGAAAUAAACUUUCUUACAUUUGUUUCUCUGGAAUGAUCAGUGAAAAAACAGAUUGGCCUUUUCAAGGGUUAGCAAGUCAAAUCAGCUUACCAAUACAAAUCAAUUCAAAUUUUUCAUUGUUGCACAGCACCUCUACAGCACCUCUAUAUUCUAGUACAAACACUACAGACAUACUGUAAGAGGAAAAAGUAAGAAAUAAUACAAAUAUGUAUAUUUAUUUUAAUCAAUAACACAAAAAGUUACAUUAGCCUAUUGCUCAUCAUCAGUUUGGCCAAUACAGAAUAUGAUAUACUGUCGGAAAUGUAUGAUAUAUCUUCAUGGAACAUGAUCUUCACUUAAUAUCCUUCACUGUAAAAAUGUCUGGGUUAUUUUUGACCUAUAAUGGGUAAAUAUUGGACAGAACACACUGCUGGGUUCAAAUUUAGCCAAUGCUGGUUUGUUUUAAACCAACUGUUGGGUUAUUAUACCCCAUAGUCGCAUAACAACAACCCAACAUUGGUUCAUUUUUAACCCAGCAUAUGUUCUGUCUAAUAUUUUCCCAUUAUGGUUAAAAAAUAGCCCAGCCAUUUAUAGAGUGUAGUGAUUUUUAGCAUACAAGUUAUUAUUUUUUUAAUUUACCCCCUUCUGUUUAUCAGUUUCCUUUAUUUAAAUACAAGGAAUUUAAUAGAGUGGACCUGUGAGUUUGUGAAUAUUUCGCAAACUACUUCCUUGAAGCAACGAACAGCAUAAGUUUCUGUUUCCAAGUAAAAACAUCACACACAAAAACACAAACCAGAAAGUGUCAGGGGAUAACCAGACCAUGUUUUCAUUCAUCCUUAUUACACACACAGAAUGUUCUUAUUACACAAUUAAACGCAAUUUUAAAAAGUGGCCUUCAAACACUUCAAAAUGAGCUUUUUUUCAUUCUACUGACAAAAUCAAAACAGAAACCAGAAUUAAACAAAGCAGUCACGCGAGGGAGGGUGGUUUAUUUAAAACUAGUAUGACCAGAUGCCUUUUGGGUUUGUAUAUGUUAAGACCAUUCGUGUUGUUCUCAUCUCUCAUUUGACAAUUCUUCACUAUUGUUCAUCACCUCAUUUCAGUUUUCCAGCUCUAUACUGUCAUAAGUGUUCAUCUGUGUGACCUAUCUGAUCUGUCUUGUACGUGGUUUUAAUAAGAGUUUCCGGGAACAUGCCAGAGACCCUGAACAAUUUGUCCGAGCUGAAAGAUUCCAAGUUUGGGCAGCCAGAUCCCAGACACGGCCUCAGAUUAUUAUGGUGGUUUGCCAAUGAAUAUGUUCACAUUGACUCCAGUGGUCUACGUGCCCUGCAUGACCCAGCGAAUGGACGUUUUGGCUUCCAUUAUUUUAGGAAUAAGGAGAAAAUUCUUCCUAUUAACCGUAAAUACUAUGAGACAGGCAACCUCAGCAAGACUUCAGAUGCACUGCCUUAUUAUGUCACUGAAAAUUACACAGGAUAUUCAGAUGCCAGCAACUCAGAUCGCCUCAUUGUUUCUGUAGGUACACAAUUGAAUUUUAAAGUCUGGUUAAAUGAUGUUUAUGUGACUCAGCAUUUAAACAACAGUCUGAAGUUUGACCAGAAUCGCACCUAUCGCAUCAGUUUAGAUCUUAUAAAGGACAUUAAAAACUUAAACCGAGCAGAAUUCCUCAGACAAAUGAAGAUUGAUCGAAAUUCUGUCUCAAUUCAGAUUGAAGCCCUUGAGGAGCAAAGAUCAGUCACACAUACAGAGAAUAACUGUGGUUGUAAAAUAUGCUGUGCUGUGUUGUUUGGGCUUUUUCUUGUUUUGCUUUUUAUUGCACUGCUGUAUUUUUGUAUCAAUUUUUUAGUCUCUAAGUAGACUUGUCUCUCUGUCUCUGUCUCUCUCUCUCUCUCUCUCUCUCUCUCUCUCUCUCUCUCUCUCUCUCUGUCUCUGUCUCUCUCUCUCUCUCUUGUCACUUUAAAAGUUUUUCUAGAUGAGAUCUCUACACAAAUAUUGAAAACAUUUAAAACCUCUGGGUCUCAGAUAUUUUACCUAAGGAAAUAAGCCAAAAAUCUCACUGUAAUGAUUUAUUGAGUUUCUCAGAGAUCUUAACAAUUAAACCAAGCUCAGAUUUUAACUUAUCCUUAUUUUGUUUUGUUUGUUGUUUUCUGUAA
Misgurnus anguillicaudatus (oriental weatherfish) is the source of this 5153-nucleotide non-coding RNA. NCBI's taxonomy places the organism in Eukaryota, Metazoa, Chordata, Actinopteri, Cypriniformes, Cobitidae. The record is from RefSeq and is a predicted model, not a curated record.